RNAcentral lists this ribosomal RNA (428 nucleotides) under uncultured bacterium. Its description in RNAcentral is "bacterial SSU rRNA". It matches the Rfam family "Bacterial small subunit ribosomal RNA", at positions 355 to 776 of the family's 1533-position model. The record is from RNAcentral.
UCGAGAAUUUUUCUCAAUGGGGGAAACCCUGAAGGAGCGACGCCGCGUGGGGGAUGAAGGGCUUCGGCCCGUAAACCCCUGUCAUUUGCGAACAAACCUCAUGCAAUAACAUUGUAUGAGUUGAUUGUAGUGAAAGAGGAAGGGACGGCUAACUCUGUGCCAGCAGCCGCGGUAAUACAGAGGUCCCAAGCGUUGUUCGGAUUCACUGGGCGUAAAGGGUGCGCAGGUGGGCUGGCAAGUUCGAUGUGAAAGCCCCGGGCUUAACCCGGGAAUGGCAUUGGAAACUGCUGGUCUGGAGGAUCGGAGGGGGGACUGGAAUUCUUGGUGUAGCAGUGAAAUGCGUAGAUAUCAAGAGGAACACCAGUGGCGAAGGCGAGUCCCUGGACGAUACCUGACACUGAGGCACGAAAGCCAAGGGAGCAAACAGG